GCGUCUGUAGCUCAGGUGGAUAGAGCAGGGGUUUCCUAAACCUCGAGCCGGGGGUUCGAGUCCUCCCAGGCGCACCA
Molecule: transfer RNA, 77 nt
Filed under: Clostridia bacterium
Lineage: Bacteria; Bacillati; Bacillota; Clostridia
Description: tRNA-Arg
Rfam family: tRNA
About the family: Transfer RNA (tRNA) molecules are approximately 80 nucleotides in length. Their secondary structure includes four short double-helical elements and three loops (D, anti-codon, and T loops). Further hydrogen bonds mediate the characteristic L-shaped molecular structure. tRNAs have two regions of fundamental functional importance: the anti-codon, which is responsible for specific mRNA codon recognition, and the 3' end, to which the tRNAs corresponding amino acid is attached (by aminoacyl-tRNA synthetases). tRNAs cope with the degeneracy of the genetic code in two manners: having more than one tRNA (with a specific anti-codon) for a particular amino acid; and 'wobble' base-pairing, i.e. permitting non-standard base-pairing at the 3rd anti-codon position.
Source: RNAcentral